GGUGAACGCUGGCGGCGUGCCUAAUACAUGCAAGUCGAGCGAACAGACGAGGAGCUUGCUCCUCUGACGUUAGCGGCGGACGGGUGAGUAACACGUGGAUAACCUACCUAUAAGACUGGGAUAACUUCGGGAAACCGGAGCUAAUACCGGAUAAUAUAUUGAACCGCAUGGUUCAAUAGUGAAAGACGGUUUUGCUGUCACUUAUAGAUGGAUCCGCGCCGCAUUGGCUAGUUGGUAAGGUAACAGCUUACCAAGGCAACGAUGCGUAGCCGACCUGAGAGGGUGAUCGGCCACACUGGAACUGAGACACGGUCCAGACUCCUACGGGAGGCAGCAGUAGGGAAUCUUCCGCAAUGGGCGAAAGCCUGACGGAGCAACGCCGCGUGAGUGAUGAAGGUCUUCGGAUCGUAAAACUCUGUUAUUAGGGAAGAACAAAUGUGUAAGUAACUAUGCACGUCUUGACGGUACCUAAUCAGAAAGCCACGGCUAACUACGUG
Molecule: ribosomal RNA, 497 nt
Filed under: uncultured bacterium
Lineage: Bacteria
Description: partial 16S ribosomal RNA
Rfam family: Bacterial small subunit ribosomal RNA
Source: RNAcentral